CCGCGUGAGGGAAGACGGCCUUAGGGUUGUAAACCUCUUUCAGCAGGGACGAAGCUUCCGGGGUUAAUAGCCUCGUGGAGUGACGGUACCUGCAGAAGAAGCCCCGGCUAACUACGUGCCAGCAGCCGCGGUAAUACGUAGGGGGCAAGCGUUGUCCGGAAUCAUUGGGCGUAAAGCGAGCGCAGGCGGCUCGGUAAGUCUGGUGUUAAAUCUUGCGGCUCAACCGCAAGGCGUCACUGGAUACUGCCGGGCUUGAGUCUGGGAGAGGGAAGUGGAAUUCCUGGUGUAGCGGUGGAAUGCGCAGAUAUCAGGAGGAACACCAAUAGCGAAGGCAGCUUCCUGGAACAUGACUGACGCUGAGGCUCGAAAGCGUGGGGAGCGAACAGGAUUAGAUACCCUGGUAGUCCACGCCGUAAACGAUGGGCGCUAGGUGUGGGAGGUGUCGACUCCUUCCGUGCCGAAGCUAACGCAUUAAGCGCCCCGCCUGGGGAGUACGGCCGCAAGGCUA
Molecule: ribosomal RNA, 508 nt
Filed under: uncultured Actinomycetes bacterium
Lineage: Bacteria; Bacillati; Actinomycetota; Actinomycetes
Description: bacterial SSU rRNA
Rfam family: Bacterial small subunit ribosomal RNA
Source: RNAcentral